UCAAGCUAAAAAGAGCGCAGGGUGAAUGCCUGGGCACUGGGAGCCGACGAAGGACGUGAUAAGCUGCGAAAAGCUGCGGGGAUCAGCAAGUAUGAAAUGAUCCGCAGAUGUCCGAAUGGAGCAAUCCGCCGGAAUAAAGCUCCGGCAUCAUACACUGAAUUCAUAGGUGUAUGAGGGGAACCGCCUGAACUGAAACAUCUAAGUAGGGCGAGGAAGAGAAAUCAACCGAGAUUCCGUAAGUAGUGGCGAGCGAACACGGAAGAGGCCAAACCUAGAGUAGAAAUACUUUAGGGGUUCGGACAGUAUAAUGAAUUGUCAAGAUUUAGCCGAAUGUCAUGGGAAGGGCAAUCAAAGAUGGUGAAAAUCCAGUAGGCGAAAAGUUAAGACAUCAGACUGUAUCCAGAGUACCGCCGGACACGUGAAACCCGGUGGGAAUAUGGGGGGACCAUCCUCCAAGCCUAAAUACUACUCGGUGACCGAUAGAGAAGAAGUACUGUGAAGGAAAGGUGAAAAGCACCCCGGGAGGGGAGUGAAAGAGAACCUGAAACCUUGUGUUUACAAGCACCGAAAGUUCAUCAACGAACGAUCGGGUACCUUUUGUAGAAUGGUCCGGCGAGUGAAUGUAACUGGCAAGGUUAAGCACUUAAGGUGUGAAGCCGUAGCGAGAGCGAGUCUGAAAAGGGCGCAUGAAGUCAGUUGUAUUCGACCCGAAACCGGGUGACCUACCCAUGUCCAGGCUGAAGUGCAGGUAAAACUUCAUGGAGGGCCGAACCGACUCCCGUUGAAAUGGUAGCGGAUGAGGUGUGGGUAGCGGAGAAAUUCCAAUCGAACCCGGAGAUAGCUGGUUCUCCCCGAAAUAGCUUUAGGGCUAGCCUUGGAAUAGAUUACUGGAGGUAAAGCACUGAAUGGGCUAGGGGCCGAGAGGUUACUGAACCUUAUCAAACUAAGAAUGCCAGAUAAUCGUUUUCCAGGAGUCAGACAGUGGGAGAUAAGUUUCAUUGUCAAAAGGGAAACAGCCCAGACCUACAGCUAAGGUCCCAAAGUAUAGUUAAGUGGAAAAGGAUGUGGAAUUGCAUAGACAACCAGGAUGUUGGCUUAGAAGCAGCCACUCAUUAAAAGAGUGCGUAAUAGCUCACUGGUCGAGUGAUUCUGCGCCGAAAAUUUAACGGGGCUAAACUAUACACCGAAGCUUAGGAUACCGCAAGGUAUGGUAGGAGAGCGUUCUGUACGGAGUGAAGUCGUAGCGAAAGCGGCGGUGGACUGUACAGAAGUGAGAAUGCCGGAAUAAGUAGCGAGAAUUAAGUGAGAAUCUUAAUGGCCGAAAGUCUAAGGUUUUUGGAGGAAGGUUCGUCCGCUCCAAGUAAGUCGGGAGCUAAGGUCAGGCCGAAAGGCGUAGCCGAUGCACAAACGGUUGAUAUUCCGUUACCGUCUACAAUUUAAACAAAGGGACACAUACAAAGCGUUUAACCCGGGCGAUGGUUGACCCGGGCGCAAGGGACUGAAAUUAGAGUAGGGAAGUAAAUGUGGCGUAUGGCGAGAAAAGCUUUGUGUAUAGAAGUAGACGCCCGUACCGCAAACCGACACAGGUGGACAGGAAGAGAAUUCUAAGGCCAGCGGGAGAAGGGUAGUUAAGGAACUCGGCAAAUUGACUCCGUAACUUCGGAAUAAGGAGUGCUCGAAAGAGCCGCAGAGAAUAGGCCCAGGCGACUGUUUAGCAAAAACACAGGUCUCUGCCAAAUCGAAAGAUGAAGUAUAGGGGCUGACACCUGCCCGGUGCCGGAAGGUUAAGAGGAGGAGUGCAAGCUCCGAAUUGAAGCCCCGGUAAACGGCGGCCGUAACUAUAACGGUCCUAAGGUAGCGAAAUUCCUUGUCGGGUAAGUUCCG
This 1884-nucleotide ribosomal RNA is filed under the name human gut metagenome. RNAcentral describes it as "bacterial LSU rRNA". It matches the Rfam family "Bacterial large subunit ribosomal RNA", at positions 3 to 1985 of the family's 2925-position model. The record is from RNAcentral.